RNAcentral lists this ribosomal RNA (464 nucleotides) under uncultured bacterium. RNAcentral's name for it is "partial 16S ribosomal RNA". It matches the Rfam family "Bacterial small subunit ribosomal RNA", at positions 339 to 795 of the family's 1533-position model. The record is from RNAcentral.
CUACGGGAGGCACCAGUGGGGAAUAUUGCACAAUGGGCGCAAGCCUGAUGCAGCCAUGCCGCGUGUAUGAAGAAGGCCUUCGGGUUGUAAAGUACUUUCAGCGAGGAGGAAGGGAGUAAAGUUAAUACCUUUGCUCAUUGACGUUACCCGCAGAAGAAGCACCGGCUAACUCCGUGCCAGCAGCCGCGGUAAUACGGAGGGUGCAAGCGUUAAUCGGAAUUACUGGGCGUAAAGCGCACGCAGGCGGUUUGUUAAGUCAGAUGUGAAAUCCCCGGGCUCAACCUGGGAACUGCAUCUGAUACUGGCAAGCUUGAGUCUCGGAGAGGGGGGUAGAAUUCCAGGUGUAGCGGUGAUAUGCGUAGAGAUCUGGAGGAAUACCGGUGGCGAAGGCGGCCCCCUGGACGAAGACUGACGCUCAGGUGCGAAAGCGUGGGGAGCAAACAGGAUUAGAUACCCCUGUAGUC